UAGGGUUUAGGGUUUAGGGUUUAGGGUUUAGGGUUUAGGGUUUAGGGUUUAGGGUUUAGGGUUUAGGGUUUAGGGUUUAGGGUUUAGGGUUUAGGAUUUAUGGUUUACAGUUUAGGGUUUAUAGUUUAGGGUUUAGGGUGUUGGGUUUAGAGUUUUAGGUUUAAGGUUUAGAUUUUUAGGUUUAGGGUUUAGGGUUUAGGAUUUGGGGUUUAUGGUUUAGGGUUUAGGGUUCAUGGUUUUAUAGUUUAGGAUUUAGGGUUUAGGGUUUACGUUUUAGGGUUUAGGAUGUAUGGUUUAAGGUUUAGGCUUUAGGGUUUGGGGUUUAGGGUUUAGGAUGUAUGGUUUUGAUUUUUUAGAUUUAGGGUUUAGAUUUUUAGGGCUUAGGGUUUAGGGCUUAGGGUUUAGGGUCUAGGGCCUAGGGUUUAGUGUUCAAGGUUUAGGGUUCAGGUUUUAGAGUUUAGGGUUGAUAUUUAGGGUUUUAGGUUUAGGGUUUAGGCUAUAGGGUAUAAGGUAUAGGGCUUAUGGUUUACUAUUUAGGGUUUAGGGUUUAUGGUUUAAGGUUUUGUGUUUGGGGUUUUGUGAUUAGGGUUUAGGGUAUAUGGUAUACGAUAUAGGGUUUAGGGUUUAAGAAUUUGGGUUUAGGGUUUAUGGUUUACGGUUUACGGUUUAUAGUUUAAGGUUUAGGGUUAAUGGUUUAGGGUUGAUGGUUUUAGGGUUUAGGAUUUAGGGUUUAGGGUUUAGGAUAUAUGGUUUACGGUUUGGGGUUUAGGGUUUAGGAUUUGGGGUUUAGGGUUUUGUUUUAGGGUUUAGGGUUUUGGCUUUAGGGUUUAGGGUUUAGGGUUUAGGGUUUAGAGUUUAUGGUUAAGGGUUUAGGGUUUAGAGUGUAGGGUUUAGAUUUUUAGGUUUAGGGUUUAGAUUUUUAGGUUUAGGGUUUAGGGUUUUGGGCUUAGGGUAUAGGGUGUAGGGUUCAGCGUUUAGGGUUCAGGUUUUUAAGGUUCAGAGUUUUGGGUUUAGGGUUUAGGGUUUAGAUUUAGGGUAUAAGGUAUAGGGUAUAGGGCUUAUGGUUUACGGUUUACGGUUUAUGGUUUAUGGUUUAGGGUUUUGGGUUUAGAGUUCUGUGAUUAGGGUUUAGGGUAUAGGGUAUAUAGGGUAUAGGGUUUAGGGUUUAGGGAUGUGGGUUUAAGGGUUUGUGUUUAGGGUUUACGGUUAAGGAUUUAGGGUUUAGGGUUUAGGGCUUAGGGCUUAGGGUUUAUGGUUUAGGCUUUAGGGUGUAGGGUUUAUGGUUUAGGAUUUAUGGUUUAGGGUUUUGAGGAUUAAAUAAUUUAACUAUUUGUGAAUUUUUUUUUUUUUGUCAAUGAAUUUGGUUGACUUUGUGCAUAGAGUUGUGAAAUGUGUACGUGGUUGUGAAUGCAAGCGUUUUGUUAUUUUGCUUAGAAUUUUG
This 1441-nucleotide long non-coding RNA is filed under the name Vigna radiata. RNAcentral's name for it is "long non-coding RNA (VRAD_LNC014934)". The record is from RNAcentral. Lineage: Eukaryota; Viridiplantae; Streptophyta; Magnoliopsida; Fabales; Fabaceae.